AACGCACCUUGCGCCCCUUGGUAUUCCGAGGGGCAUGCCUGUUUGAGUGUCUUGAAAUCAUCAAACCUAACCGGUCUUUGUUGGCCGGCGCGGUUUGGACUUGGGGGCUUCCUUGCUGCCGCUCGCGGUGGCUCCCCUUAAAUUCAUCGGUCGGGCUUUCGUGCGGCUCUGUCCCUUGGCGUUGUAUUACCCUCGUCGCUGGAUGGCUCGCGAUACUGCGCCCUUCUUUGACCUGCCUCUGGAGCGGCGGUCUUCAACUUUUGUGAUCUGACCUCAAAUCAGGUAGGACUACCCGCUGAACUUAA
RNAcentral lists this unclassified non-coding RNA (305 nucleotides) under uncultured fungus. RNAcentral describes it as "sequence contains ITS2". The stretch from base 1 to 52 matches the Rfam family "5.8S ribosomal RNA", at positions 103 to 154 of the family's 154-position model. The record is from RNAcentral. Lineage: Eukaryota; Fungi.